UACGUAGGGUGCAAGCGUUAAUCGGAAUUACUGGGCGUAAAGCGUGCGCAGGCGGUUAUGCAAGACAGGUGUGAAAUCCCCGGGCUCAACCUGGGAACUGCAUUUGUGACUGCAUGGCUAGAGUACGGUAGAGGGGGAUGGAAUUCCGCGUGUAGCAGUGAAGUGCGUAGAUAUGCGGAGGAACACCGAUGGCGAAGGCAAUCCCCUGGACCUGUACUGACGCUCAUGCACGAAAGCGUGGGGAGCAAACAGG
Molecule: ribosomal RNA, 253 nt
Filed under: uncultured bacterium
Lineage: Bacteria
Description: partial 16S ribosomal RNA
Rfam family: Bacterial small subunit ribosomal RNA
Source: RNAcentral